This 253-nucleotide ribosomal RNA is filed under the name uncultured bacterium. RNAcentral's name for it is "partial 16S ribosomal RNA". It matches the Rfam family "Bacterial small subunit ribosomal RNA", at positions 524 to 776 of the family's 1533-position model. The record is from RNAcentral.
UACGUAGGGAGCAAGCGUUGUUCGGAUUUACUGGGCGUAAAGGGCGCGUAGGCGGCGUGUCAAGUCGAUUGUGAAAUCUCCGGGCUUAACUCGGAACGGCCAAUCGAUACUGACGUGCUAGAGUGCAGAAAGGGCAAUCGGAAUUCUUGGUGUAGCGGUGAAAUGCGUAGAUAUCCGAAAGAACACCGGUGGCGAAGGCGACUCGCUGGGCUCUUGCUGACACUGAAUCACGACAGCGUGGGGAGCAAACAGG